UGGCCACAUUACAUUGAAAUACCGGUUCCCGUACGAUCACCGAAUUUAAGCAACAUUGAACAUGGUUAGUACUUAGAUGGGUCACCAUUUAGGAAUACCAGGUAU
Molecule: non-coding RNA, 105 nt
Organism: Acanthosepion pharaonis
Lineage: Eukaryota; Metazoa; Mollusca; Cephalopoda; Sepiida; Sepiidae
Source: the annotation of a GenBank genome assembly